RNAcentral lists this long non-coding RNA (203 nucleotides) under Cicer arietinum (chickpea). Its description in RNAcentral is "long non-coding RNA (CARI_LNC000112)". Lineage: Eukaryota; Viridiplantae; Streptophyta; Magnoliopsida; Fabales; Fabaceae. The record is from RNAcentral.
GAUCAAAAUACAUAAAUUAACAAGUUUAAUUUCUUCAGUAAGUUUAAGGAGUUUCAGGCUUAAUGGGGUUGCCAAUGUUAUGAUGAUGUAGUGGAUCUGGACCUGUAGGAACCUUCCUCAACUCUCCAAUCAAUGAUUUUUCAUCAUACUUGAUCCUUGUUGAAGAUCCUUUGAGAUUAACCAUUAAACUUGAUUUUUUAUCC